RNAcentral lists this long non-coding RNA (388 nucleotides) under Arabidopsis lyrata. RNAcentral's name for it is "long non-coding RNA (ALYR_LNC001959)". Lineage: Eukaryota; Viridiplantae; Streptophyta; Magnoliopsida; Brassicales; Brassicaceae. The record is from RNAcentral.
AGUACAUAUAUAUAUAUAUAUAUAUAUAUAUAUAUACUAAUCUUUUUUUUUUUUUUCGUCUAGAUUUAUUAUUUAUUAUAAAUUAUGAGAACUGUUACAUAGACGAUUCUACAACGGACAAUUCCUUCCGACCCUUAUUAAAUUCACGACAGACGACACCUCCUUCAUGCUCACCUCCUUCACCUCUUUCUUCAUGCUCUUGAUGGACACUUCUCUUUCUGCGUAGAAUCCUGACGAACGGCUAUAAUUGUACAUCGCUGGAGAUCUCCUGCACACUUGCCUCCAAUAAUCUGCAAAUUUAUUAAUAAAUCGCAUUAUCUGGGACUCGAACCCCAGACCUCUAGGUGUAGAAGCAUUAAUUAACCCUUGGUCAACCAAUGGACCAAGG